This is a non-coding RNA of Mycena galericulata, 93 nucleotides long. NCBI's taxonomy places the organism in Eukaryota, Fungi, Basidiomycota, Agaricomycetes, Agaricales, Mycenaceae. The record is from the annotation of a GenBank genome assembly.
GGCCUGGUGGUGUACCGGUAACAUAUCUUCUAAACUUGGGUGCUGAAUAGAUAGAGUAAGAGGAAGAUCCCUGUUCGACUCGGGGCCAGGCCA